Molecule: long non-coding RNA, 496 nt
Organism: Stomoxys calcitrans (stable fly)
Lineage: Eukaryota; Metazoa; Arthropoda; Insecta; Diptera; Muscidae
Exons: 2
Source: RefSeq, a predicted model, not a curated record
UUUUAUUCGAUCGAAAGAGAAAUAUUUGUUCAGUUUUGCACGCUGCUGUAUGUUGCCGGUAACUGGUUGGCGCUAACCCACUUUUAUCCCGUGCCAGAAAAGUCAGUACAUUAGCUGACAUUGCUAUUAUAUAAAUUUUUACAAUAUAUAAUAUGGAAUUAAAAGCGCAAAAUGAAGGUGUAUUAAUGAGUGUUAAUAAUAUGAUGACUUAUGUUGAUUUUGCAAAAAAUAUUUGGACUUUUAACUUCGUGCGUCCAAAAUAUAGGCAUAGAUAAAAGCGAAAGAAAAUGGUGUAGAGAUAAAUGGGGGAUUUCUAAUAUUUGUAAGCUUUCUUGAUUUUGCAUUAAACACUGUGUGAACAUUAUAUGUAGGUACAUGGAUUUCUGUCAUUAUAAUGUAAUAAACCAUUUGAGGGCGAAAAUAUCGCCAACGAUAAAAGAGAAAGAAAAAAAUGCACAUAUGUUAAUGUAAAAAUAAACAAGUCAUAAACAUUUUA